Molecule: ribosomal RNA, 139 nt
Filed under: uncultured eukaryote
Lineage: Eukaryota
Description: partial 18S ribosomal RNA
Rfam family: Eukaryotic small subunit ribosomal RNA
Source: RNAcentral
UGGUGGAGUGAUUUGUCUGGUUAAUUCCGUUAACGAACGAGACCUCAGCCUGCUAAAUAGCCCCAGCCAUCCUCGAUGGCUGGCUGGCUUCUUAGAGGGACUAUGUGCGAUUAGCACAUGGAAGUUUGAGGCAAUAACA